Molecule: transfer RNA, 72 nt
Filed under: Sus scrofa (pig)
Lineage: Eukaryota; Metazoa; Chordata; Mammalia; Artiodactyla; Suidae
Rfam family: tRNA
About the family: Transfer RNA (tRNA) molecules are approximately 80 nucleotides in length. Their secondary structure includes four short double-helical elements and three loops (D, anti-codon, and T loops). Further hydrogen bonds mediate the characteristic L-shaped molecular structure. tRNAs have two regions of fundamental functional importance: the anti-codon, which is responsible for specific mRNA codon recognition, and the 3' end, to which the tRNAs corresponding amino acid is attached (by aminoacyl-tRNA synthetases). tRNAs cope with the degeneracy of the genetic code in two manners: having more than one tRNA (with a specific anti-codon) for a particular amino acid; and 'wobble' base-pairing, i.e. permitting non-standard base-pairing at the 3rd anti-codon position.
Source: Rfam by way of RNAcentral
CCCCUGGUGGUCUAAGGGUUAGGACGCGGUGCUUUCACCACAGAGGCCCGGGUUCAAUCCCUGGCCUGGGAG